Molecule: ribosomal RNA, 193 nt
Filed under: uncultured bacterium
Lineage: Bacteria
Description: partial 16S ribosomal RNA
Rfam family: Bacterial small subunit ribosomal RNA
Source: RNAcentral
CAACUCGCCUACAUGAAGUCGGAAUCGCUAGUAAUCGCGGAUCAGCAUGCCGCGGUGAAUACGUUCCCGGGCCUUGUACACACCGCCCGUCACACCAUGAGAGUUUGUAACACCCAAAGCCGGUGGGGUAACCUUUUGGAGCCAGCCGUCUAAGGUGGGACAGAUGAUUGGGGUGAAGUCGUAACAAGGUAGC